Cyprinus carpio (common carp) is the source of this 568-nucleotide long non-coding RNA. Lineage: Eukaryota; Metazoa; Chordata; Actinopteri; Cypriniformes; Cyprinidae. The record is from Ensembl.
AUGAAUCAUCAGAACCGCAAAGAAAGUUCUGCAAGUGGUUCAUUCUUAGAAUCCUCCAGCGUUUCACUUCAGAGAAUCUGCAUUGAGAGAGAAGCUCCUGUCCAAACACAAUCCUGUUACCGCAGCUCAUCUGGACAAAUGUUUGUCUGCAACCCUCUUGGAUGUCAUUUCUCUUAGCACUGUUGAGAUAAACAGGAGAGAGUGAGAGUGAUGGAGACAGAAGGGAAAGUCAAGCAUGAGUGCUUCAGGAGUGACCCUUUAAAGAAACAGCUCUGAUCACCAUCACAGACGCUGUGAACACAAUGACACACAGUGCACAUUUACUGCAUACACAUGCAAAACUCACCAACAUAUGGAAGCCCAUUUCUGCCAUUGAGUAAAAUAUACAAAAGUUAAUUGUGACUUUUUUAUCUCACAAUUCUGACUUUUUUCUCGCAAGUGCAAGUUUACAUCAGAAUUACAUCAGAAUUGCGAGUUAUUAAGUCGCAGUUUUGUGUUAUAAAGUCAGAAUUGCAUGAUAUGAACUGGCAAUUCUGAGAAAUAAAGUCAGAAUUUAGAUAAAAGCUCA